AUUGAACGCUGGCGGCAUGCUUUACACAUGCAAGUCGAACGGCAGCGCGGGCUUCGGCCUGGCGGCGAGUGGCGAACGGGUGAGUAAUACAUCGGAACGUGCCCAGUAGUGGGGGAUAGCUCGGCGAAAGCCGGAUUAAUACCGCAUACGACCUGAGGGUGAAAGCGGGGGAUCUUCGGACCUCGCGCUAUUGGAGCGGCCGAUGGCAGAUUAGCUGGUUGGUGGGGUAAAGGCCUACCAAGGCGACGAUCUGUAGCUGGUCUGAGAGGACGACCAGCCACACUGGGACUGAGACACGGCCCAGACUCCUACGGGAGGCAGCAGUGGGGAAUUUUGGACAAUGGGCGCAAGCCUGAUCCAGCAAUGCCGCGUGUGUGAUGAAGGCCUUUCGGGUUGUAAAGCACUUUUGGCGGGAACGAAAAGGACUGUGCCAAUACCACGGUUCGAUGACGGUACCCGCAGAAUAAGCACCGCUAACUA
This 480-nucleotide ribosomal RNA is filed under the name Lautropia mirabilis. RNAcentral describes it as "bacterial SSU rRNA". It matches the Rfam family "Bacterial small subunit ribosomal RNA", at positions 29 to 503 of the family's 1533-position model. Lineage: Bacteria; Pseudomonadati; Pseudomonadota; Betaproteobacteria; Burkholderiales; Burkholderiaceae. The record is from RNAcentral.